UACGUAGGGGGCAAGCGUUGUCCAGAUUUAUUGGGCGUAAAGCGCUCGCAGGUGGUUCAUUGCGUCGUGCGUGAAAGACCCCGGCUCAACUGGGGAGGGUCGUGCGAAACGGGUGAACUAGAGGCCAGUAGGGGGAUGCGGAAUUCCGGGUGUAGUGGUGGAAUGCGUAGAGAUCCGGAGGAACACCAGCGGCGAAGGCGGCAUCCUGGACUGGUCCUGACACUCAGGAGCGAAAGCGUGGGGAGCGAUCCGG
RNAcentral lists this ribosomal RNA (253 nucleotides) under uncultured bacterium. Its description in RNAcentral is "partial 16S ribosomal RNA". It matches the Rfam family "Bacterial small subunit ribosomal RNA", at positions 524 to 776 of the family's 1533-position model. The record is from RNAcentral.